GGGUUGUGAGGUUAAGCGACUAAGCGUACACGGUGGAUGCCCUGGCAGUCAGAGGCGAUGAAGGACGUGCUAAUCUGCGAUAAGCGUCGGUGAGGUGAUAUGAACCGUUAUAACCGGCGAUUUCCGAAUGGGGAAACCCAGUGUGUUUCGACACACUAUCAUUAACUGAAUCCAUAGGUUAAUGAGGCGAACCGGGGGAACUGAAACAUCUAAGUACCCCGAGGAAAAGAAAUCAACCGAGAUUCCCCCAGUAGCGGCGAGCGAACGGGGAGGAGCCCAGAGCCUGAAU
Molecule: ribosomal RNA, 289 nt
Filed under: Escherichia coli
Lineage: Bacteria; Pseudomonadati; Pseudomonadota; Gammaproteobacteria; Enterobacterales; Enterobacteriaceae
Description: partial 23S ribosomal RNA
Rfam family: Bacterial large subunit ribosomal RNA
Source: RNAcentral